Non-coding RNA from Helobdella robusta, 95 nucleotides. It matches the Rfam family "Vault RNA". From Rfam's summary of the family: This family of RNAs are found as part of the enigmatic vault ribonucleoprotein complex. The complex consists of a major vault protein (MVP), two minor vault proteins (VPARP and TEP1), and several small untranslated RNA molecules. It has been suggested that the vault complex is involved in drug resistance. NCBI's taxonomy places the organism in Eukaryota, Metazoa, Annelida, Clitellata, Rhynchobdellida, Glossiphoniidae. The record is from Rfam.
GCGCGGGCUUAGUUAAGCGGUUACUUCGCAUAAAAGAAUUUACUGUCACUAAAUACCCUUACUGCUCUGGACCGUUGGCGCCAUCCCGUGCUUUU